UGCCUCUCAGGGUCGCACCUGGAGAGUUUCCAGUCCUCUACUAGUCUUGGCUACUGGAGGGAGAGUCAGGUAGAGGCCUACCCAUUCCAUUCCUAGCUUGGGCAUUGCCCAGCGAGUGGAAGACAAUCUGCUACAAGU
Molecule: small nucleolar RNA, 138 nt
Organism: Tachyglossus aculeatus (Australian echidna)
Lineage: Eukaryota; Metazoa; Chordata; Mammalia; Monotremata; Tachyglossidae
Source: RefSeq, a predicted model, not a curated record